This 330-nucleotide ribosomal RNA is filed under the name uncultured eukaryote. RNAcentral describes it as "partial 18S ribosomal RNA". It matches the Rfam family "Eukaryotic small subunit ribosomal RNA", at positions 1470 to 1796 of the family's 1831-position model. The record is from RNAcentral.
CCCUUAGAUGUCCUGGGCCGCACGCGCGCUACACUGAUGCAUGCAACGAGUUUAUAACCUUGGCCUGAAAGGUCUGGGUAAUCUUUUGAACGUGCAUCGUGAUAGGGAUAGAUUAUUGCAAUUGUUAAUCUUGAACGAGGAAUUCCUAGUAAACGCGAGUCAUCAGCUCGCAUUGAUUACGUCCCUGCCCUUUGUACACACCGCCCGUCGCACCUACCGAUUGGACGGUUUAGCGAGGCCCUCGGAUCGGUACCAGGAUUCUUAACCGAGUCACUGGCAACCGAGAAGGCGGUCGAACUUGACCGUCUAGAGGAAGUAAAAGUCGUAACA